UAGAUGGCUAGCUGGGCAGGGCUCAUCAUGACAACUGACUUCACUGACCAGUGUUGCCAACUAUGUUUCUGCUGAGUUUCGCUGUUGCCGCGACGACGUCACAGCACCAAUUUGCCUUGCUGCAGCACGAAUAUGGUCCCCAACGUAGCGUUAUCGCCCCCUCUUCUUCUAUUUCCCAUCCUGUGUGCGCAAUGCUGCGACUUAUGUUACAUAUACUGCAACUCUCGUUUGCGGCAGAAAUGAUAAGGAAAAGUCGCUAAAUGCCAUCAAAACCCUCGGUGUCAAAACUCCCCAAUGGUUGCCUGAAAAGUAGCUGAAUUUGUCUCUAGAAUCCUUCACAAAUACAAUUCGCUGGAGAGGUCUGAAAAUAUAGCAGCUAAAUUGACAACACUGGAACAGACUUAAUCGAAUCCACUCGACUAUUGCUGCGCGAAAUAAGUAAUCAAUGUAUUUGGGAACCAGGCGUGGCAUUGCCAUGAAAGUGUUGUUCAUAAUGUUGGUACAUAAAAGAAAGAGUCGUCUUUUGUAACUCGUUGUAGAACUUAGGUCAUUUUACGAUUCUCUGAUGGAAAAAUGCAAUGAGGAUGAGAAGCCCGUAACGUUAACUUCGGGAUAGCAGUGCUAGUACCGUAGUUCUUGCUGUAAAAUUGACUAAUAGAAGUAUAAAGGGGAGGAAUUGCACAUGCAGGAACGCCCUGAAUUGUGCGUCGCAAUUACACCCUUCUAAACAAUUCCAUGAGGAGCGUUUGAAAAAUAAACACUUUAAUUGAACAAUUGAACAGUUGUUAAUUCUACAGGAUUAGCAUUGAAAGCGUGACUAGCGGUGGGGAAAUCAGAGGGAAGUCAGAGGACACUGAUGCCCCGGUCCCAUUUCACAGCAAGCAUCCAGACUGCCAAAAUCACAGUACCAGGGACUGCAAAGGGUGAGGGACCACACCAAUAACAUGGGUCACCCCUGCCACAACAACACCAUCAGACUCUGCCAACCCAUGGCCCAUGACACUCAGACCAAACAGGAAAUUCUGGAACUGUGCAGAUAAAACCAGAGGAUUCUGAUCUGGAGAGAGAGAAGCUGAAUAAGGAGAAGGAUGCUCUGCAGGUGACAACAGAGUUUAUGACGGUCAUAAUGGAGGAUGGAGGAUGGAGGAUGGAGGAGCAGCAGCAGCAGAGACCCUCAGGGAAGAACAACACUCUGAAAGCCAAAGACAAGCUACAGACCGGAGGGCCUCACAGCAAGGAGGAGCAUGACAGGAAAAUCAAAUGGAUCAAAACCGCGUGCUGCCUUCCACUGAAGAAGACUAAAUAACAGGCUGAGUUAUGACCCUAAGCUCUGAACUGUAGUACUGGAGAAAGGAGAUUGACCUCUGCUGAUGGUUUUGUAGUCUUGCUAUUGGUUGUGUUUAUAAAGACAUGAAUCAGCAUCUUCUUGGACAAAGCUGUGUAUUGUUUUGUUUGACGACAUAAUGUAAUAUUUUGAACUUUAAUUGUGUCUUUUGAAGUGCUGUUUUGAAAGCACUUCGAACUUAAGAAGAAUUUCAUGAAAAUGAGGUGUGUGCUCCAUUAGGAAUGGAGAAAUCAUGACAAUAAAGAACUCAUUCCAGAGAAUCAGGAGCAGAUUGUGAAAUGUUCAGAUGGCUCUUACUUAAAGUGACCUCAAAAUUCACAGCCAUUCAGCAGCUGCCAUCGUCUGGUCAAUACUGUAAAUGGAAGUCCGGUCCAACUGGAAGAGAUGUUCAAUUUAGUGUUAUGAAAGUAGCUAUGUCCCUUUCUAAGUUCAAUUCUAUAUCUAUUAUGAAGCUGCAGUAGCUGGCUAAAGUAAUGACCAACCAGGAAAAACAACCUGAAAUGCAGAAGAUAAAAAAUACACAGGUUCAUAUAGGCAUUCGUGAUUAUGAUGAGAAAUUGAAUUAAUUUAUUUGGUUUAACCCUAGUUCCUGCUUGUGUCCCUAGCCAUCAUCUUUUCUUGUUUUCCUUUUACAGAACACCAUUACAGUGUCAUGACAUUUAUUCAGCACUAAUUGGGGCUGAGGCUCGAUCAAGCAUAUCUGUCUGAGGCACAAUACAAACUCUGUUGUUGAAGUGCUAUGAUAACCAAGCUAUCUACAGUUUUUACCAUCAGUAAGUAGGUGACGUGCUAGAUGCAAGGUUAUUUUGGCCAGCGUAAAGGCAGUGUGAGUUUAAGUGUGUGCAGGAAAUGCAGGGUGAUUAAUUUUUUCCCCCAGAAGGCUGUUAAGCAGCAACAAGACUGAUUUAAUGUAUUUUCUGCCCAACAGUGUCCUCAUCAGACUCCAGCAGCUCUAAAGCAUUGUUUGGUUUGGUGCAGAGGAGCCCUGUGUAUCCUAUGCAGUUAGGGGUUCCAUUUUUCAUUCCAGUGUCCUCCCUCUCUCAGGUUAUUGUUAUCACAGUGUAUGUUUAACUACGGCUCACUGACACUGUAAUUACUUUAAUUUAUGUAUUGGUGUUGUCAUGUAUAUGUACACAGAUUGACAUGAAUAGUUUUCUCUGCAUGUUAGUACUAUAAUGAAGAACAUUUCUGUUAUAAUCAAUGUAGGACUGUCUAUUCUGAUUAGGCCUAUAUCUCUAGAGGACUACCAAUCCAUCUAAUUGAGUGGACAACUUUAGAUGAUGGCAAAUACUAACGCUUAACUAUGUACGUACUGAUCUAUAGUAUAAUAACAAAUGUAAUCCCACUGGUGGCUUGCCUCUGAAGCUAAGCAGAGUUGGUCCUGGACGGUCCCUGGAUGGGAGACCAGUGGUGUUAGAGGGCCAGUAGGAGUCAGUUUUUUCCCCUGGUAUUUUUUCUUUAUCCCAAUGCCCCAGGGCAGUGAUUGGGAACAUUGCCCUGUAUAGGGUGUCGUCUUUCAGAUGGGAUGUUAAACGGGUGUGCUGACACUCCGUGUUCACUAAAGAUCCCAUGGCACUUAUUGUUAGAGUAGAGGUGUUAACCCUGGUGUCCUGGCUAAAUUCCUGAUCUGGCCCUCAAACCAUCAUGGCCACCUAAUCAAAUUAUAUGUCACAUGCGCCAAAUACAGGUGUAGACCUUUACAGUGAAAUGCUUACUUACCAGCUUUAACCAACAAUGCAGUUAAAAAGAAUAAGAAAUAAAAGUAACAAAUAAUUAGAGCAGAAGUCAAAUAACAAUAGCGAGGCUAUAUACAGGGGGUACAGGUACAGAGUCAUGCUGGUGCAGAGGUUAGUUGAGGUAAUAUGUACAUGUAGGUAGAGAAGAGUAGCAGUAGUGUAAAGGGGGGGUGCAAAGCAAAUAGUUUGGGUAGCUAUUUUAUUAGAUGUUCAGGAGUCUUAUGGCUUGUCCCCAGCUUCCAAUUGGCUCAUUCAUCCGCUCAUUCAUCCGCUCCCCGUAACUAUUCCCCAUGUUGUUGCUGUAAAUGAGAAUGAGUUCUCAGUCAACUUACUGGUAACGUAAGGGUUAAAUAACAGUUAAAAAGAAACACAAGUACUCUGGAUUCAACUCUUCUAUUUCAUUCCCAUUUCCACCUGCAGCAACAUUUUCAAACGGCAGAGGGCAUUGCUGUCCAGUAACGAUGGCUGACAUUGCAGAUGAUGUCAUGUGAGUCUUUCAGUGGGCUUUAUUUGUUAUUACACUUAGACACUGACACAUGCACAGUAACAAACAAAGUGACAGAACCGCUAUUACUAUUGGCUGUGGGGAGUGUGCUGUUUUUUGCACCGAAAGCAACUGAUUCAGUGAGUACUUCCAAAUAAAUAUUUUAUGGCAGCUUCUACUACAUCUUGUACCAUGUUCAUACUGCACAUUUCCCUGAGGAAGUGACAAUUCCCAUAGCAGUCCAUUACUUUAUUGGGCUUAAUAAAAAUGCCUUCUUGUGAAACAGAAAUAACAUGUAGCACUUGGGCAGAGAGAGGAAACUCGCCCACCAGCACAUAAAGCC
This is a long non-coding RNA of Oncorhynchus tshawytscha (Chinook salmon), 3908 nucleotides long. NCBI's taxonomy places the organism in Eukaryota, Metazoa, Chordata, Actinopteri, Salmoniformes, Salmonidae. The record is from Ensembl.